CUAUUAUGGAGAGUUUGAUCCUGGCUCAGGACGAACGCUGGCGGCAUGCCUAAUACAUGCAAGUCGAGCGAAUGACGAAGAAGCUUGCUUCUUCUGAUUUAGCGGCGGACGGGUGAGUAACACGUGGGCAACCUGCCCUGUAGAUUGGGAUAACUCCGGGAAACCGGGGCUAAUACCGAAUAAUCCAUUUCCUCUCAUGGGGAGAUGUUAAAAGACGGUUUCGGCUGUCACUACAGGAUGGGCCCGCGGCGCAUUAGCUAGUUGGUGAGGUAACGGCUCACCAAGGCGACGAUGCGUAGCCGACCUGAGAGGGUGAUC
This 318-nucleotide ribosomal RNA is filed under the name Psychrobacillus psychrotolerans. RNAcentral describes it as "bacterial SSU rRNA". It matches the Rfam family "Bacterial small subunit ribosomal RNA", at positions 1 to 305 of the family's 1533-position model. Lineage: Bacteria; Bacillati; Bacillota; Bacilli; Caryophanales; Bacillaceae. The record is from RNAcentral.